AUUGAACGCUGGCGGCUGCUCCACACAUUGUCAAGUCGAACGGCAGCACAGGAGCAGCUUGCUCUACUGGGUGGCGAGUGGCGGACGGGUGAGGAAUACAUCGGAAUCUACUCUGUCGUGGGGGAUAACGUAGGGAAACUUACGCUAAUACCGCAUACGAUCUAAGGAUGAAAGCAGGGGAUCUUCGGACCUUGUGCUCCUGGAGCGGCCGAUAUCUGAUUAGCUAGUUGGUGAGGUAAAGGCUCACCAAGGCGACGAUCAGUAGCUGGUCUGAGAGGACGACCAGCCACACUGGAACUGAGACACGGUCCAGACUCCUACGGGAGGCAGCAGUGGGGAAUUUUUGGACAAUGGGCGCAAGCCUGAUCCAGCAAUGCCGCGUGAGUGAAGAAGGCCUUCGGGUUGUAAAGCUCUUUUGUCAGUGGAAGAAACGGCUGUGGCUAAUAUCCACGGCUAAUGACGGUACCUGAAGAAUAAGCACCGGCUAAACUACGUGCCAGCAAGCCAGCGGUAAUACGUACGGGUGCAAAGCGUUAAUCGGAAUUACUUGGGCGUAA
RNAcentral lists this ribosomal RNA (557 nucleotides) under uncultured bacterium. RNAcentral describes it as "bacterial SSU rRNA". It matches the Rfam family "Bacterial small subunit ribosomal RNA", at positions 28 to 563 of the family's 1533-position model. The record is from RNAcentral.